RNAcentral lists this ribosomal RNA (497 nucleotides) under uncultured bacterium. Its description in RNAcentral is "partial 16S ribosomal RNA". It matches the Rfam family "Bacterial small subunit ribosomal RNA", at positions 28 to 507 of the family's 1533-position model. The record is from RNAcentral.
GAUGAACGCUGGCGGCGUGCCUAAUACAUGCAAGUCGAGCGAACGGACGAGAAGCUUGCUUCUCUGAUGUUAGCGGCGGACGGGUGAGUAACACGUGGAUAACCUACCUAUAAGACUGGGAUAACUUCGGGAAACCGGAGCUAAUACCGGAUAAUAUUUUGAACCGCAUGGUUCAAAAGUAAAAGACGGUCUUGCUGUCACUUAUAGAUGGAUCCGCGCUGCAUUAGCUAGUUGGUAAGGUAACGGCUUACCAAGGCAACGAUGCAUAGCCGACCUGAGAGAGUGAUCGGCCACACUGGAACUGAGACACGGUCCAGACUCCUACGGGAGGCAGCAGUAGGGAAUCUUCCGCAAUGGGCGAAAGCCUGACGGAGCAACGCCGCGUGAGUGAUGAAGGUCUUCGGAUCGUAAAACUCUGUUAUUAGGGAAGAACAUAUGUGUAAGUAACUGUGCACAUCUUGACGGUACCUAAUCAGAAAGCCACGGCUAACUACGUG